This 509-nucleotide ribosomal RNA is filed under the name Drawida koreana. Its description in RNAcentral is "partial large subunit ribosomal RNA". It matches the Rfam family "Bacterial large subunit ribosomal RNA", at positions 1809 to 2607 of the family's 2925-position model. The record is from RNAcentral. Lineage: Eukaryota; Metazoa; Annelida; Clitellata; Moniligastrida; Moniligastridae.
AAAAACAUUGCUCUUUGAACUUAUAUAAAGAGUAUUUCCUGCCCAGUGAUAAUAUAUUUAUUAAACGGCCGCGGUAUCCUAACCGUGCAAAGGUAGCAUAAUCACUUGCUCAUUAAUUGUGGGCUAGAAUGAAUGGACUAACGAAAAUUGAAUCUGUCUCUUUCUACUAAAUAAAAAUUAAUCUUUAAGUGAAGAAGCUUAAAUAAGUUUGAAAGACAAGAAGACCCUAUAGAGCUUUAUUUUUAAAAAUGAAAUUUAUUUUUAUAUAAUUUGGUUGGGGCGACCCGGGAUUAAAUAAAUCAUCCCGCUACAUAAGAUAUCUUUAUCUAUAUUUAUGACCCUAAAUUUUAGAUCAUUAGAAUAAGCUACCUUAGGGAUAACAGGCUAAUUUUAUUUGAAAGUUCUUAUUAAAAAUAGAGUUUGGCACCUCGAUGUUGGCUUAGGGAUUCUUAAUAGCGCAAAAGUUAUAGAAGAGGGUUUGUUCAACCUUUAAUUCCCUACGUGAUCUG